GUGGGGAAUUUUGGACAAUGGGCGAAAGCCUGAUCCAGCCAUGCCGCGUGCAGGAUGAAGGCCUUCGGGUUGUAAACUGCUUUUGUACGGAACGAAACGGUCCUGGUUAAUACCUGGGGCUAAUGACGGUACCGUAAGAAUAAGCACCGGCUAACUACGUGCCAGCAGCCGCGGUAAUACGUAGGGUGCGAGCGUUAAUCGGAAUUACUGGGCGUAAAGCGUGCACAGGCGGUGCUGUAAGACAGGCGUGAAAUCCCCGGGCUCAACCUGGGAAUUGCGCUUGUGACUGCAGUGCUGGAGUACGGCAGAGGGGGAUGGAAUUCCGCGUGUAGCAGUGAAAUGCGUAGAUAUGCGGAGGAACACCGAUGGCGAAGGCAGUCCCCUGGGCCUGUACUGACGCUCAUGCACGAAAGCGUGGGGAGCAAACAGGAUUAGAUACCCGUGUAGUCC
RNAcentral lists this ribosomal RNA (450 nucleotides) under uncultured bacterium. RNAcentral describes it as "bacterial SSU rRNA". It matches the Rfam family "Bacterial small subunit ribosomal RNA", at positions 354 to 796 of the family's 1533-position model. The record is from RNAcentral.